GGAAGUAAAAGUGUAACAAGGUUUCCGUAGGUGAACCUGCGGAAGGAUCAUUAAAGAAUUGCCCCGUCUUCUCGAAGAUGGGUUCUAUUCCAAACCGUGUUUACAUACCUUUGUUGCUUUGGCGGGCCGCCGCUUCGGCGUUGGCUCCGGCUGACUGCGCCCGCCAGAGGACCACAACUCUUUUGUUUAGUAAUGUCUGAGUACUAUAUAAUAGCUAAAACUUUCAACAACGGAUCUCUUGGUUCUG
RNAcentral lists this unclassified non-coding RNA (247 nucleotides) under plant metagenome. RNAcentral describes it as "partial contains small subunit ribosomal RNA, internal transcribed spacer 1, and 5.8S ribosomal RNA". The stretch from base 1 to 53 matches the Rfam family "Eukaryotic small subunit ribosomal RNA", at positions 1778 to 1831 of the family's 1831-position model. The record is from RNAcentral.